GCAUUCGUGGUGUAACCGAAAAGUACAUCCGGCUAGGAACUGGAAGGUCCGGAGUUCGAAUCUCGGCGAGGGCA
RNAcentral lists this transfer RNA (74 nucleotides) under Stegodyphus mimosarum. It matches the Rfam family "tRNA". From Rfam's summary of the family: Transfer RNA (tRNA) molecules are approximately 80 nucleotides in length. Lineage: Eukaryota; Metazoa; Arthropoda; Arachnida; Araneae; Eresidae. The record is from Rfam by way of RNAcentral.